This 449-nucleotide ribosomal RNA is filed under the name uncultured bacterium. Its description in RNAcentral is "bacterial SSU rRNA". It matches the Rfam family "Bacterial small subunit ribosomal RNA", at positions 329 to 793 of the family's 1533-position model. The record is from RNAcentral.
AUCCAGACUCCUACGGGAGGCAGCAGUGGGGAAUAUUGCACAAUGGGGGAAACCCUGAUGCAGCGACGCCGCGUGAGCGAUGAAGUAUUUCGGUAUGUAAAGCUCUAUCAGCGGGGAAGAAAAUGACGGUACCUGACUAAGAAGCCCCGGCUAACUACGUGCCAGCAGCCGCGGUAAUACGUAGGGGGCAAGCGUUAUCCGGAUUUACUGGGUGUAAAGGGAGCGUAGACGGCAAUGCAAGCCAGAUGUGAAAGCCCGGGGCUCAACCCCGGGACUGCAUUUGGAACUGUGUAGCUGGAGUGUCGGAGAGGCAGGCGGAAUUCCUAGUGUAGCGGUGAAAUGCGUAGAUAUUAGGAGGAACACCAGUGGCGAAGGCGGCCUGCUGGACGAUGACUGACGUUGAGGCUCGAAAGCGUGGGGAGCAAACAGGAUUAGAUACCCUGGUAAAA